This 606-nucleotide ribosomal RNA is filed under the name Triticum aestivum (bread wheat). RNAcentral describes it as "partial small subunit ribosomal RNA". Lineage: Eukaryota; Viridiplantae; Streptophyta; Magnoliopsida; Poales; Poaceae. The record is from RNAcentral.
UGUAGUUUCAAUGAUGAGGCAUAUAGGUCAACUAUGGGUGUUUGUUCCAACAAUUCUCAUUGGUCUCAAACCAACGACAUGCAUUUCGAUGACCAUGAGUUUGAGGUGGACGGGGAUGGUGAGGGCACCGUCGACGCACCAACAGGAACAGGAGUCAACUACACCAAUGGUGAAGACGUCUUGCUAUGCAGAACCUGGUUGCAAGUGUCGAGGGAUCCAUCCGUUGGAGGUGAUAAAAAUAGAGACGCAUAUUGGAACCGGAUGAAGGAGCGCUUUGAUCAACACAACAGGAGUGGAAUUGACCGCAAGGCACAAUCUCUUCGCUUCCGAUGGUCAACAAUCAACCGAGAUUGUCAAAAGUGGGCGGCCCCACAAAAGGCGGUUGACAAGUUGAACCCAAGUGGCACUAAUGAUAUAGAUAGAGUAAGUGCCAUUUCAUCCAUGUUCGUCAUUCUUGUUCUUGGUGUUUGUAGUGCUAACUUGUUUUGUUUUUAUGUAGUUCAACAUUGCACAAGACUUGUUCAAAGGAGAGGAGAAGAAGAGCAAGAAAGGAAAGAUCAAGAAAGGGAGACCAUUUUACCUUGCCUCAUUUCUAUGAAGAAUUGA